RNAcentral lists this ribosomal RNA (471 nucleotides) under uncultured organism. Its description in RNAcentral is "partial 16S ribosomal RNA". It matches the Rfam family "Bacterial small subunit ribosomal RNA", at positions 334 to 797 of the family's 1533-position model. The record is from RNAcentral.
CACUCCUGCGGGAGGCAGCAGUGGGGAAUUUUGGACAAUGGGCGAAAGCCUGAUCCAGCAAUGCCGCGUGAGUGAAGAAGGCCUUCGGGUUGUAAAGCUCUUUUGUCAGGGAAGAAACGGUGAGAGCUAAUAUCUCUUGCUAAUGACGGUACCUGAAGAAUAAGCACCGGCUAACUACGUGCCAGCAGCCGCGGUAAUACGUAGGGUGCAAGCGUUAAUCGGAAUUACUGGGCGUAAAGCGUGCGCAGGCGGUUUUGUAAGUCUGAUGUGAAAUCCCCGGGCUCAACCUGGGAAUUGCAUUGGAGACUGUAAGGCUAGAAUCUGGCAGAGGGGGGUAGAAUUCCACGUGUAGCAGUGAAAUGCGUAGAUAUGUGGAGGAACACCGAUGGCGAAGGCAGCCCCCUGGGUCAAGAUUGACGCUCAUGCACGAAAGCGUGGGGAGCAAACAGGAUUAGAUACCCGGGUAGUCCC